RNAcentral lists this ribosomal RNA (476 nucleotides) under uncultured bacterium. Its description in RNAcentral is "bacterial SSU rRNA". It matches the Rfam family "Bacterial small subunit ribosomal RNA", at positions 29 to 524 of the family's 1533-position model. The record is from RNAcentral.
AUUGAACGCUGGCGGCAUGCCUUACACAUGUAAGUCGAACGGCAGCACGGGGGCAACCCUGGUGGCGAGUGGCGAACGGGUGAGUAACACAUCGGAACGUGCCCAGUAGUGGGGGAUAGCUCGGCGAAAGCCGGAUUAAUACCGCAUACGACCUACGGGUGAAAGCGGGGGAUCGCAAGACCUCGCGCUAUCGGAGCGGCCGAUGUCAGAUUAGGUUGUUGGUGGGGUAAAGGCCUACCAAGCCGACGAUCUGUAGCUGGUCUGAGAGGACGACCAGCCACACUGGGACUGAGACACGGCCCAGACUCCUACGGGAGGCAGCAGUGGGGAAUCUUGCGCAAUGGGCGAAAGCCUGACGCAGCAACGCCGCGUGGGGGUGAAUGCCUUCGGGUUGUAAACCCCUUUCAGCAGGGACGAAAUUGACGGUACCUGCAGAAGAAGCCCCGGCCCAACUACGUGCCAGCAGCCGCCGUAAG